CGUAAGACAGACGUUGCGCAUGCUCUAAAGCUCAUUCCGUUUACGUGAGAUAAAUGGCGUGAGCAGGUGCGCGUGUGGUGGGUGAGAGACUGGAAAUGGAAUCAAGAAUCAUCUGAUUAAUUAUCUGAAAUAACCUGGUGACCAGCAUGGUUAUUUCAGCAGUGCUGUGCAUCCUACUCCAAAAGUAAUCCUGCCUUUGGGGGAACACAAGGUCCUCUGGAGGAACUUAAAAGUCAGGAAAAAAAAACAGUGUGAGGUGUCAGGAGACUUGAGACUACAAUAGUCUAUAAACCUUACAUCCAAAGGGAGAGUAGGAGCCACUGGCUGAAAAAUAAAGAAUAUCAUGGCAGACUUGGACAAGAAUGAUGCUAUUGAUGCAUUUGUGGAUGCUGUUAAAAGAAGUUCCAAUCAGAUGACAUCUUACAAACUACUAGUUACUAGUUUUAAAGAUUGAAUUUGACUGUUUUCUGCAAUUGAAAAAAUAAUAAUUAAAUAUUUAUUUCAACUGUGCUUUUGUUUCUGAGCUACUAUGUAUGGCUUACUUAGUCUUAUUAAUAUUACUGGACACUGACCUAUUGAUUCAAUUUAAGUUGAUCAGAUAAUGUUGGAAUACCAUUAUAGGCAUGUUGGUUGCACCAAAACGUGCACAACUUCAUCAGGAAAUUGUUGACAUACCUGUAUUAAGUAAAUCCAAUAGGUCAUUUUUUUGAAUGCUCACAUCUUGAAGAGCACUUAAAGUAUACAAACAGGAAUUAUUUCCUGUAUGUAAUCAACACAUCAUUUCCUCUGCAGAUUAGCAAUUGUAAUAUAGGAGGUUGUUUUUCCAUUACAUGUUUCAGUAGGUUCUUCACUGGAACUGAGUUGGCCUUCAUUUAUCAGAUGACUGAGAUGCAGGAACGCGUGUAACAAGAAAUCUUUUAUCCACAAGCUCAUUAGGAUCACACAGCAUAUAGUGUAUUUCACAAGCCGUGAAGAAGUGGAAAAUGUACAGUACAUACACGCACUUUUGGAUUUUGAUCAUCCAAAUAAAUUAUUAAACUUUUGCCAUUAAAUGUGUGAAGGGGCCCAUCCUCUAUCACUUCAGUGUGAAGUAAAUAAGAUUCAUGCAAUCCACUGUUAAAGGCUGGUAUUUAUGCUUUUAUAUAUAUUGUAAUUCAUGGUAUCUAUAAAAGAGAAUCCAUACAACUCAGAAUAUUGAAAAUGUUUCAAUAACUACAUGAGUAUAUUAUGUGUAUUAUGUAUUUUCAUUAAAUUUAAGGCUUUGUUUACAAUUCA
This is a long non-coding RNA of Lates calcarifer (barramundi perch), 1275 nucleotides long. RefSeq lists it as uncharacterized. Lineage: Eukaryota; Metazoa; Chordata; Actinopteri; Centropomidae. The record is from RefSeq and is a predicted model, not a curated record. The transcript is spliced from 4 exons.